Molecule: long non-coding RNA, 432 nt
Filed under: Phoenix dactylifera (date palm)
Lineage: Eukaryota; Viridiplantae; Streptophyta; Magnoliopsida; Arecales; Arecaceae
Description: long non-coding RNA (PDAC_LNC015561)
Source: RNAcentral
AAACUUGACUUUCAGACUUCCUUCACUUGGGUCGACUCAACCAUUCUUUGGGUCGACUCAAAGUUCACUUGGGUCGACUCAACUUCUUCUUGGGUCGACCCUCUCAGUAAUUCCAGAGAACCAUUUUCUGUCUGUCUUUCUGUCUUGCCUUUGGGUCGACCCUCUCAGGGUUUGGGUCGACUCAAGCUUGGGUCGACUCAACCACUGUUUGGGUCGACCCUCUCAGUAAAUCCAGAGAACAUUCUUCUGUCAUAUUUUGAGGUUCUUGAAGGUUGGGUCGACUCAUGCUUACCUUGGGUCGACCCAACUCACUGUUCAUCUGUGCCAUUUUUGCAGGAGUGUGUCAAAUGAUUUCUUGAUGUGCCGGGGUCGACCCAAUCAACCUUUGGGUCGACUCAAUCCACACUUUGCUGCAUUCUCAAGGUUAGAUUC